Non-coding RNA from Mus caroli (Ryukyu mouse), 1332 nucleotides. Lineage: Eukaryota; Metazoa; Chordata; Mammalia; Rodentia; Muridae. The record is from RefSeq and is a predicted model, not a curated record.
ACCUCGACCCGGAGAAAUCCGGACAGUUCUACUCUGAGCGGUUAGUUCAGAGGAGGUAGGAGACCGAGUUUGCAGACAAUUACAGGGACAAAGUGGGGAACUUACCUGCUACCCGGAACCAGCACUGCCAAAUUCUCCUGGGUGUCCUGGAGUCCACGCGCUCCCGGGGCCUCGGCGUCCUGAGGAGUUCGCGAGACCAGAGUUUGGCUUUCUGACCUGUAAGGUGCCUCUCGCCUUGAACCAAUUUCUAAAUCUUGUCACCCUCCAGAGGAGGGCCUACGCGGCACACACACAGAUAUGGGAUGGUUCAGAACUUCAGGGGACAAGUGCUCCCUUUAUUGGAAACAAACCAAGGAGGGAUCUUAUCUCCUGAUGGCCCUUGUUUGUACCUGGAGCCCUGCUGUUGCCCUCCGCUUGCUUCUUCUCCACAGACUGCAGGUGUGGAAUCUGGGGCUGCUUCGGACUGCCUGCAGCAGCCGACUAUGAUUUGUCUCAUGCACUAGCAGGGGUGUGAUUCUGACAGCCGCAGACAGUUCCCUCGAUAGUGUGACAUUUGGAAUUAUGGGGACUUUUCAGAGGGUGGCCCCGAGAGGCUGAACAUUGGUUGCUGUUGCUCGUUGUUUGUGUGCAAAAAAGAAACAAGAAAGAAUUCCAUCUCGUGACUGUGAAGAUGAAAUUUGCUCCAAGCUCCAAAGAACUUGACCCCCCUCAUCAGCAGGAGGCAGCCUGACAAGAACCAGAACCCUUUCCUUUCUAUCCUUUUUUCUCUCCUACCUUGUGGUAUGGUGUUGAAAGGGUAAACUAAAAAGGGGAGCUGGGGAAGGGUAGAAGAAAGAAAGCCCCACAAAAAGUCAGGCUAAAGGGGUGGGACGUCCAUGUGUAGGUCAGAGUACACCUCUGUGUGUUGAGUCAUUCCUCAGCGACAUCUGUGUGGGUUACAGGAAGAGAAUUGAGCUUUCUGGGCUUGCACCGCCAUCCACUCAGCCAUCGAGUGAGCCCUCUUACAAAUAUUAUAAGUGAAAUAAAAAGCAGGCAGGCUCAAGGUGGUGUUUAUGAGAUAUUCUAGGAAAGACAGGAUAUGUCUCUGGUUAGAGAAACCAAAUUGUGUGUGAUGAGGGAAUACAUAGAAAGAAGAGUGAGAAGAUUUCUGGGCUGAUGGAACUUUCUAGAUUAUCAUGGUAUUGAUGGUUAAGGUAGUUUAUACAUUUGUCAGAGAUGUACACUUAAAAUCAAUUUUGGGGGCUGGGUGUGUAUCUGAUCCCAGUUGCCUAGUUUGCAUAAGACCCUGGGCUUGAUUACAAUACUGCCAAAAGCAAAGCAAAACAAACAAAA